ACAUACGACCAUAGCCAGAAGUCAGGUCUGGAUCCCGUCCGAUCUCCAAUGACAAUCUUCUGAGCGCCGUAUCAGUAGUUGGGUCGGUGACGACCAGCGAAUCCCCGGUGUUGUAUGUU
Molecule: ribosomal RNA, 119 nt
Filed under: Moelleriella libera RCEF 2490
Lineage: Eukaryota; Fungi; Ascomycota; Sordariomycetes; Hypocreales; Clavicipitaceae
Source: RNAcentral